Molecule: ribosomal RNA, 1208 nt
Filed under: Vibrio harveyi
Lineage: Bacteria; Pseudomonadati; Pseudomonadota; Gammaproteobacteria; Vibrionales; Vibrionaceae
Description: bacterial SSU rRNA
Rfam family: Bacterial small subunit ribosomal RNA
Source: RNAcentral
UCUCGCGUCAGGAUAUGCCUAGGUGGGAUUAGCUAGUUGGUGAGGUAAUGGCUCACCAAGGCGACGAUCCCUAGCUGGUCUGAGAGGAUGAUCAGCCACACUGGAACUGAGACACGGUCCAGACUCCUACGGGAGGCAGCAGUGGGGAAUAUUGCACAAUGGGCGCAAGCCUGAUGCAGCCAUGCCGCGUGUGUGAAGAAGGCCUUCGGGUUGUAAAGCACUUUCAGUCGUGAGGAAGGUAGUGUAGUUAAUAGCUGCAUUAUUUGACGUUAGCGACAGAAGAAGCACCGGCUAACUCCGUGCCAGCAGCCGCGGUAAUACGGAGGGUGCGAGCGUUAAUCGGAAUUACUGGGCGUAAAGCGCAUGCAGGUGGUUUGUUAAGUCAGAUGUGAAAGCCCGGGGCUCAACCUCGGAAUAGCAUUUGAAACUGGCAGACUAGAGUACUGUAGAGGGGGGUAGAAUUUCAGGUGUAGCGGUGAAAUGCGUAGAGAUCUGAAGGAAUACCGGUGGCGAAGGCGGCCCCCUGGACAGAUACUGACACUCAGAUGCGAAAGCGUGGGGAGCAAACAGGAUUAGAUACCCUGGUAGUCCACGCCGUAAACGAUGUCUACUUGGAGGUUGUGGCCUUGAGCCGUGGCUUUCGGAGCUAACGCGUUAAGUAGACCGCCUGGGGAGUACGGUCGCAAGAUUAAAACUCAAAUGAAUUGACGGGGGCCCGCACAAGCGGUGGAGCAUGUGGUUUAAUUCGAUGCAACGCGAAGAACCUUACCUACUCUUGACAUCCAGAGAACUUUCCAGAGAUGGAUUGGUGCCUUCGGGAACUCUGAGACAGGUGCUGCAUGGCUGUCGUCAGCUCGUGUUGUGAAAUGUUUGGGUUAAGUCCCGCAACGAGCGCAACCCUUAUCCUUGUUUGCCAGCACUUCGGGUGGGAACUCCAGGGAGACUGCCGGUGAUAAACCGGAGGAAGGUGGGGACGACGUCAAGUCAUCAUGGCCCUUACGAGUAGGGCUACACACGUGCUACAAUGGCGCAUACAGAGGGCAGCCAACUUGCGAGAGUGAGCGAAUCCCAAAAAGUGCGUCGUAGUCCGGAUCGGAGUCUGCAACUCGACUCCGUGAAGUCGGAAUCGCUAGUAAUCGUGGAUCAGAAUGCCACGGUGAAUACGUUCCCGGGCCUUGUACACACCGCCCGUCACACCAUGGGAGUGG